GUGUUACAUGACAGGAGAGAAGGUUAGCACUCCCCUUGACAAGGAUGAAAGAGGCCCUUGAGCCAGGUAACACACAUACAAUUAAAGCGUGGCAUAUAACCACUGUUUUUG
RNAcentral lists this non-coding RNA (111 nucleotides) under Octodon degus (degu). The record is from RNAcentral. Lineage: Eukaryota; Metazoa; Chordata; Mammalia; Rodentia; Octodontidae.